UUUUUUUCUUCCUUUU
This 16-nucleotide small RNA is filed under the name Arabidopsis thaliana (thale cress). RNAcentral's name for it is "ATSL129400". Lineage: Eukaryota; Viridiplantae; Streptophyta; Magnoliopsida; Brassicales; Brassicaceae. The record is from RNAcentral.